GACGAACGCUGGCGGCGUGCUUAACACAUGCAAGUCGAACGGAAAGGCCCUGCUUUUGUGGGGUGCUCGAUUGGCGAACGGGUGAGUAACACGUGAGUAACCUGCCCUUGACUUUGGGAUAACUUCAGGAAACUGGGGCUAAUACCGGAUAGGAGCUCCUGCUCCAUGGUGGGGGUUGGAAAGUUUCGGCGGUUGGGGCUGGACUCGCGGCUUAUCCGCUUGUUGGUGGGGUAGUUGCUUUCCAAGGCUUUGACGGGUAGCCGGCCUGGGAGGGUGGCCGGCGACAUUGGGACUGAGAGACGGCCCAGACUCCUACGGGAGGCAGCAGUGGGGAAUAUUGCACAAUGGGCGGAAGCCUGAUGCAGCAACGCCGCGUGCGGGAUGACGGCCUUCGGGUUGUAAACCGCUGUCGCCUGUGACGAAGCGUGAGUGACGGUAAUGGGUAAAGAAGCACCGGCUAACUACGUG
RNAcentral lists this ribosomal RNA (468 nucleotides) under uncultured bacterium. Its description in RNAcentral is "partial 16S ribosomal RNA". It matches the Rfam family "Bacterial small subunit ribosomal RNA", at positions 28 to 507 of the family's 1533-position model. The record is from RNAcentral.